AAUCAACGCUGGCGGCGUGCCUCAGACAUGCAAGUCGAACGAUUAAACUUUCCUUCGGGAAAGAUAUAAAGUGGCGCACGGGUGAGUAACACGUAGGUAAUGUACCUUUGGGUGGGGAAUAACCAUCGGAAACGAUGGCUAAUACCGCAUAAUGCAGCGGCAUCGCAAGAUGACAGUUGUUAAAAGAUUUUAUCGCCUAAAGAGCAGCCUGCGGCAGAUUAGGUAGNGGUAAGGUAAUGGCUUACCAAGCCUGCGAUCUGUAACCGACCUGAGAGGGU
RNAcentral lists this ribosomal RNA (278 nucleotides) under uncultured bacterium. RNAcentral's name for it is "partial 16S ribosomal RNA". It matches the Rfam family "Bacterial small subunit ribosomal RNA", at positions 32 to 301 of the family's 1533-position model. The record is from RNAcentral.